AUUCCAUAAUGUGGGCAUUUCCUUUGCAACUCUUUAAAUCGUUCUCAUGCAUCAUAAAAAGAUUCUCAAUCCAGUUGAUGGAAAUUAUUAAUCUCUCCUCUCAUUCU
Small nucleolar RNA from Humulus lupulus (European hop), 107 nucleotides. NCBI's taxonomy places the organism in Eukaryota, Viridiplantae, Streptophyta, Magnoliopsida, Rosales, Cannabaceae. The record is from RefSeq and is a predicted model, not a curated record.